Molecule: small nuclear RNA, 168 nt
Organism: Anneissia japonica
Lineage: Eukaryota; Metazoa; Echinodermata; Crinoidea; Comatulida; Comatulidae
Product: U1 spliceosomal RNA
Exons: 1
Source: RefSeq, a predicted model, not a curated record
AUACUUACCUGGCACAGGAGUGACUUUGAUCAAGAAGGAAUGCCCUCCCAAGGUGAGGCCUCGGCAUUGCACUUGGCUGAGGUUGACCCUUGCGAUUCCCCCAAAUGUGGGGUUUCUUUGGGGUGGGGAAAUUUUCAAGUUUAUUAUAGUUUUACGUAUAUCAAUAUA